CACGUAGGGCGCGAGCGUUGUCCGGAAUUAUUGGGCGUAAAGAGCUCGUAGGCGGCCUGUUGCGUCCGCUGUGAAAGCCCGGGGCUUAACCCCCGGGUCGGCAGUGGAUACGGGCAGGCUAGAGGUAGGUAGGGGAGAAUGGAAUUCCCGGUGUAGCGGUGAAAAUGCGCAGAUAUCGGGAGGAACACCGGUGGCGAAGGCGGUUCUCUGGGCCUUACCUGACGCUGAGGAGCGAAAGCGUGGGGGAGCGAAACAGG
RNAcentral lists this ribosomal RNA (257 nucleotides) under uncultured bacterium. RNAcentral describes it as "partial 16S ribosomal RNA". It matches the Rfam family "Bacterial small subunit ribosomal RNA", at positions 524 to 776 of the family's 1533-position model. The record is from RNAcentral.